UACGAAGGGGGCUAGCGUUGCUCGGAAUCACUGGGCGUAAAGGGCGCGUAGGCGGGCUCUUAAGUCAGAGGUGAAAGCCCAAGGCUCAACCUUGGAAUUGCCUUUGAUACUGAGGGCCUUGAGACCGGAAGAGGUCGGCGGAACUGCGAGUGUAGAGGUGAAAUUCGUAGAUAUUCGCAAGAACACCAGUGGCGAAGGCGGCCGACUGGUCCGGUUCUGACGCUGAGGCGCGAAAGCGUGGGGAGCAAACAGG
This 253-nucleotide ribosomal RNA is filed under the name uncultured bacterium. RNAcentral describes it as "partial 16S ribosomal RNA". It matches the Rfam family "Bacterial small subunit ribosomal RNA", at positions 524 to 776 of the family's 1533-position model. The record is from RNAcentral.